RNAcentral lists this ribosomal RNA (434 nucleotides) under uncultured bacterium. Its description in RNAcentral is "bacterial SSU rRNA". It matches the Rfam family "Bacterial small subunit ribosomal RNA", at positions 46 to 524 of the family's 1533-position model. The record is from RNAcentral.
GCUUAACACAUGCAAGUCGAGCGCCCCGCAAGGGGAGCGGCAGACGGGUGAGUAACGCGUGGGAACAUACCCUCCGGUUCGGAAUAGCUCAGGGAAACUUGGAUUAAUACCGGAUACGGCCUAGCGGCGAAAGAUUCAUCGCCGGAGGAUUGGCCCGCGUUCGAUUAGCUAGUUGGUGAGGUAACGGCUCACCAAGGCGAACGAAUCGAUAGCCUGGUCUGAGAGGAUGAUCAGCCACAUUGGGACUGAGACACGGCCCAAACUCCUACGGGAGGCAGCAGUGGGGAAUAUUGGACAAUGGGCGCAAGCCUGAUCCAGCCAUGCCGCGUGAGUGAUGACGGCCUUAGGGUUGUAAAGCUCUUUCGCUAGGGACGAUAAUGACGGUACCUAGAACAAGAAGCCCCGGCUAACUUCGUGCCAGCAGCCGCGGUAAU